Molecule: ribosomal RNA, 253 nt
Filed under: uncultured bacterium
Lineage: Bacteria
Description: partial 16S ribosomal RNA
Rfam family: Bacterial small subunit ribosomal RNA
Source: RNAcentral
UACGUAGGGUGCAAGCGUUGUCCGGAAUUAUUGGGCGUAAAGAGCUCGUAGGCGGCCUGUCACGUCGGCUGUGAAAACCCGGGGCUCAACCCCGGGCCUGCAGUCGAUACGGGCAGGCUAGAGUUCGGCAGGGGAGACUGGAAUUCCUGGUGUAGCGGUGAAAUGCGCAGAUAUCAGGAGGAACACCGGUGGCGAAGGCGGGUCUCUGGGCCGACACUGACGCUGAGGAGCGAAAGCGUGGGGAGCAAACAGG